This 240-nucleotide unclassified non-coding RNA is filed under the name soil metagenome. Its description in RNAcentral is "partial contains 5.8S ribosomal RNA, internal transcribed spacer 2, and large subunit ribosomal RNA". The record is from RNAcentral.
AACCAUUCUCACCUGCGGCUAGACCUGCGGAGGGAUCAUUACACAAUACAAUAUGAAGGCUGUCCGCAGCUGGAGUAUUUUAUUACCCUUGUCUUUUGCGCACUUGUUGUUUCCUGGGCGGGUUCGCUCGCCACCAGGACCACCAAAUAAACCUUUUUUAUGCAGUUGCAAUCAGCGUCAGUACAAACAAUGUAAAUCAUUUACAACUUUUAGCAAUGGAUCUCAGAUCGGAAGAGCACA